GAGCAGGCUGUGCAGCCAAGCCAAACACAAAUGGAAGACAGAUAAUUUGCACACGAUGGUGUGCACGUGUGUUUGGUGCGUGCGCACGGACGUCUGCAUGUUUGUGCACACGCAGGCUUUGCCUACGUCCUGCUGCUGUGGCUGGGAAGUGUAGAAAUACAGAGCUUUCCAAGUCUUGCAGAAUCAGUGGCUCAAAUUGCAUCUAGAAGAGCUCCCCACGCCACCUGUGGGGUUAGAGGGCUCACAGAGUAACCCGUCCCACCUGGAGAAGAGCAAUCACCUGUCCUCGCAGGGCUGUGAGGGCUGGGGAGCUGAUAUAAGUCAGGCUGAAGUGAGGCUGGCUGCUUUUUGGAGGAGUGGUUGGGCAAGACAGUGCUCUGGUGGUCAGAUCAUCCUGAGCAUCAGGCAGCAGUGCUGGCUGGACCUGGGAUGCUGUUUGCUUGUGUAAGGCCCACUGGCUUCUGCUGCUCAGGAAAUACCCCCAAACCCACCAGUGGACGCUCACCCCAACCCCCCCCCUCCCACCCAAAGGCUCCCGGUUGGUGCUUGCACUUUCCUGCACGAGGACCAUCAGCAGGAGAGGGAUUUGCUGCAGACUGCAGCAGGAAAGGUGGAAUGCGGAGCGUGAGAGGAGCAGCCACCUUUCAGGCCAACAGCUGCUUUGGGGGAUGGGUUGGAUAAAUGUGCAGGGUUUCCAAUCAGCCCCACACACCCCGGUCAGAAGGCUUCACCGGAGCACAGCGUGGGGGAAUGGCUGCUGAUAACACUGCGUCCAUCCCAGACAUCCCCACAAACUUUCCUGGAGGAACCCACACCACCAGAGGGGACCGCAGUGGGUCACAACCUGACCCGACCCCAAAGGGCAGCGAUGCAGAUGGCAGUGGGAAAACCAGGUCGGAGUGCAUUGGAAAGAGCUGAAAGUCAGAGGGAUCUCCUCCAAGCCACCUCUCGCUGCUUUUGGAUGCUAGGAGGAACCAACUCUGCGUUGAAGCACUUGGCACAAGGCAGGACCAAGAUCCCCCUUCCAACACAUGCACGAGAGCAGAGCUGAACCGUUCGCACAGAAAACAGCUGGAAAAACACAACAAAAUCAAAAGGUCCUUCUGCUCCAUCUCCUGCCUGUAGGUUCUGGUGGGUUGCAGAGCGUUGCCCUCCAUGGUUUGCAGCUCUGCAGAAGGGCUGAGAGCACAGGGACACCAAAGUGUGCCUCUCCCAUGGGGGAGCGUGGGGUCAGCGAGGUGCCCUGGGGACACUCACCCCAACCCAUCUCAUGUCCAGCCGGCGUCUCCCAUAUCCAUCAGCCACGUGCAGCCAGCGCAUUAAAAUCUCAUUUAAAAAGGAAUCAAGGUUUAAUCCAUCCGUGUUUGAAAAUGGUCUUUUCCCAUAUCCUGCUUUUGGCACGGCCUCCCAGCCGGGCCGUUGCACCUCACCCCAGAAUGGGCUCAGCUGCUGCAGCCGGGGGUCCCACGCCGGCACCGAGCGGCCAACGGAGCUGCCAUGUUCAUAUUUUAUCUUUUAUUGGCUUUUUUUUUUUUUCCCUCUUUCCCCCUAUUUUACCCUUUCUGCACCACGACUCCCUGGGGCCCCAGCAGAACAUCUGGCCAAGCCACUUCUGGUUCCAUUUAUUGGCGGAUAAUUUAUUUGUGGACCAGAAGGGAAAAGAGACCCAACUGUUCAGAGGAGGAGUAUUGGUAGGGCCGUUGGUGGUGCUGCUCAAACACGAGCUCCUUAGGUGUGAUCCAGACCCAGGGAAGUCAAACACAGAUCUCCCCUUUGGAUCCAGAGCUGUCAGAUCUCAGUCCAAACGCACGGAGGGAAAUCAUUCGAAUGCACACUCUCCCAGUUCACCAUACCCACUGUCCACAUCCCUCAGUGCCACAUCCCCACAGCUCUGGAACACCCCCAGGGAUGGUGACCCCCCCACCCCCUGGGCAGCUGUGCAGUGCAGCACUGCUCUCAUCCACAGAGGCUGAAGAUGGUCCUUGGAAAGAAGCAGAGGAGCAGACAAAGGACCGAAUCCUGAGGAUGCAAAGUGCUUCGUGUAUCCCCUGCAGCCAGCCAGCCUCUGCUCCAGCAAGGCAAUGGAAACAAACAUCCAUUUUCCUGAUCUAGCCCCAAAAAGCCAGUCCUAAUAUCCAGAACGAGGAGGACACGGCUGUGCUUCCAUCUCCCACCCUACCGGCAC
Molecule: long non-coding RNA, 2185 nt
Filed under: Gallus gallus (chicken)
Lineage: Eukaryota; Metazoa; Chordata; Aves; Galliformes; Phasianidae
Description: lncRNA (ENSGALG00010026307.1)
Source: RNAcentral